Molecule: ribosomal RNA, 292 nt
Filed under: uncultured bacterium
Lineage: Bacteria
Description: partial 16S ribosomal RNA
Rfam family: Bacterial small subunit ribosomal RNA
Source: RNAcentral
GUGUCAGCAGCCGCGGUAAUACAGAGGUCCCAAGCGUUGUUCGGAUUCACUGGGCGUAAAGGGUGCGUAGGUGGUGAGGUAAGUCGGAUGUGAAAUCUCGGAGCUUAACUCCGAAAUGGCAUUGGAAACUACCUUGCUAGAGGAUUGGAGGGGGGACUGGAAUGCUUGGUGUAGCAGUGAAAUGCGUAGAUAUCAAGCGGAACACCAGUGGCGAAGGCGAGUCCCUGGACAAUUCCUGACACUGAGGCACGAAAGCUAGGGGAGCAAACAGGAUUAGAUACCCGCGUAGUCC